Molecule: long non-coding RNA, 1181 nt
Organism: Hemicordylus capensis (graceful crag lizard)
Lineage: Eukaryota; Metazoa; Chordata; Lepidosauria; Squamata; Cordylidae
Exons: 3
Source: RefSeq, a predicted model, not a curated record
AUGCUUGCAUGCAGAAGGUUCCAAGCUCCCUCCUUGGCAGCAUCUCCAAGAUAGGGCUGAGAGAGACUCCUGCCUGCAACCUUGGAGAAGCCGUUACCAGUCUGUGUAGACCAGGAAUGCACAACUCAAAGACCCCAGUGGGCUGGAACCAACCAUAACUUGGUGUAUGGAGGUCAAGGUUCACACAGAGGAGGCAGAUCAUAAUGUAGCAAGCCCGAGGAAAGAAAAAGACUGGAACAAAACUGUUUGCAGUUAGCAUAAGUGACUGCACACACUGGCCAGCAUUCAGUCCUGAGACAGAAGCUUCCUUUUGAAAAAUGUCUCUCCAAAAGAUGAAGAAAAUGGCAUGUCUUUGGUGAACACUAAAUUACUUCAGAUGAAUGUUGAUCUCAGUUAAUUAAAAUGACUGGUCUUGGAAAAAUUGCAGCACACUUACUUUCAAAUUAGCAGAUGAAUUUUGGCUGACCUUUCAGACUUUGAUGGCUUGCCCAGUUGUCUGCUUAAUGAUCAAAACUGGACAACUACAACAAACUCUGGAAAAUCCAAACUGAAGGAAUUCUCUUGUGUACAUCUGCAAAAUGAUUUUUUUUUUUGGUGGGUGUAAGAACUUCUUAUUUUCCCCCAGUUAAGAGUUAUUAAACAUAAUGGCAGACAUCCAAAGCAAGGAAGCAGCAGUGUAGCGAGAAGAGCAGACUUACAGCACUUCCAGACUUACUGUACCAGUGUCCUGGGGAAGGGGCAAUUUUAACCUCCCCUUGCCCAGAAAGUCCUCUGUAACAUCCGAUAAUAUGUCCCUGAGGGCAGAAAUUGUGUGAACCUGCCUAAUGUGUAAACACACCAAAAAAAAACCCCAGAUGUUUAAGGUGUUCUUAUAAAAGGGGAUAAGAUGGUGAAAGAUGGGCAAGAUAAUAAAGGACAAUGGCCUUUAUGUCCCAACAGGCAUAAAGAACAUCAUGGAAAGAUUGCAACUUUCUUAAGAUAAAGGAAAGCCUUGAUUUUUACGGAUCCUGCAUCCGUGGAUUUGUAUAUCUGCGGCCAGGUAAUGGACGCCCAACCUUGGUAUAUGCAGUAAAAAAUCUGGGAGAAAGGGUUAAACUCGUGUAUCUGAAUGUUGGGGGUGGCCGUAAAUUACCUCGGAGGCCAUUUCUGGCCACCAUUUUGAGGAGAAGAGUCUAAACUAA